CGGCAGAGGGACCCGCCGGAACGGAACGGGUUGGCGGGGUGGGGGUGGGGCCGCCGGAACAGAUCAGUGGAGAAUUCUGCCAGAACAGAUCGGCGGAGAAUUCCGCCACAGACAGUAGGAGCUACCUACCCAACUCGGCAGGUGCGACCUGCCUACGCGAAUUGGUGGGAACCACCAGGAGACGUUCCACAAGGGAACUUCGGGGGGGUCCCCCGAAAGGAACAGACUGCCCUUGAAGUCAGGACCAAAGAAACAAUAGGAACUGUCCAGGGCAGUAGAAGAGGGGAGAGAAAACGAGCGAUAAAUCGAAAUGAAAGUAAACAAAAAAAUCUGGUCUCCUCCUGCAAGGAGAUCUGAUCUCGGUUUAAUCUCACGGGGGCUUCCAAAUGUAUGACCGGUACCGCAGAGGAGACUCCAAGGGCUCUACUCUCAUGUAAGAACAAAGGGGUCUUUAUUGGUCUGUGUGCACGGGGUCCUCCGUACAAGCGGGAACAGAGGGCCCCGAGUGUAGGUGAGGCAGGUGCUUUUAAGGGAAAAAAUCGCAAAGCAAGCAUUUUUUUACAGAAGCCAAUCACAGCAGUUAGAGCGGGAUAGUCAACAGUUUACUUAUUUGUGGUUGGUCAGCUCAUAAGAGAUGACCAACGGGUCAGAGUUAAUUAACUGUCUUGUUCUGCACAACUUAUCUUUAGGACACCUGGUUUCUCUAUGGCUCGAGUUUGACAUGUUUCCACAACCCUGAUUAGCGUAAUGGCAGGCUCUAUCUCUGAGUUCCCUGGCACAGCACAGCCCGAGAAUAUCACAGCUGCAGAUAUUUUCUUUUUGAUUCUCCCUAGGAGCUGAGUUUGGGCUAAGCCAUGAGGCACAGAGCUGCUUCUAGCUGAGAAACAGCAUCUUGUUUUUAACCUUUAAAUUUCUGGUCCUUCAACUUAAGGAUAUUCUAUGAGCCAGUAUACAGUCUGUUUUGGAGAAUGUCCCUUGUGUAGCUUUAGAAGAGCAUGUAUUGGGAUGUUAUGGAGUGGAACAUAUAGACAUCUACUAAUUCCAUUGUUUUUAAAAGUUUGAUUUAGUUGUGAUAUUUCAUGAUUGAUUUUUUGUGUAGUUGAUCUGCCUUUUUAUGUCAUGAUGGAGUAGUGAGGUUUCCCAAUAAAAUUGUAUUAGGGCAUAAUUUUUCAUGUCUGUCAGUAAUUGUUUAUAUUGGGUGGGUGCACCAUUAUAUGUUGCAUAUACAUUUAUGGUUGUUGCAUCUUCCUCUUAGAUUGUUCCAUUGACAAGGAUAUAGUGACUAUCUUUAUCUCUGUUAAUUAGUCUUGGCUUGAUAUUCAUUUUAUCUUCAAAUAGAAUAGCUAACACAAUUUUUUUCUGGGUUACUGUCACAUGAAGUAUUGUUUUCCACCCUUUGAUUUUCAGUCUAUGAAUUUCUUUGGAAUUAAGUAUGUUUAUUUUAUACAGCAUAUUAUGGGAUCUUGCUUCUUGAUCUCUUCUGACAGUCUGUGUCUUUGGAUUGCUGUAGUCUGUGCCUUUGUAUUGCUGCAUGAGAACACUAACAUUGAUGGUUAUAACUGAGAUGUACUGACUUACCCUUGUCAUGUUGUUUUACUGUUGUUGGCUCCCAGUUUGUCCCCUUCCUCUAAUGGUUUGCCCAAAGGGCUUAACAUUUAGAAUGGAUUAAGGACAAAAUAGAGAAUAGGAAGAAGAGAAAGAGAAUAAAAAUAAGGUGUGAGGACAAAAGGAGAUCGUGCCAACUUGGGGAGCUGGUGCUGAAGACUAAGGAAAAGAGAGAUGCAAGCCAUGAAACAAAGAGCAGAACAGAAUCCCACCCACAGCGAGGUCAGGAGCCACGUCCGCAGUCACAUAAAAACAGUGAAGGUGACAGAAAAAAAAAAGAAAAACAAACAGUCCACUUCCUGGAUUCCCUGUUUCACUAGGAAGACAACCUCUGGAGACAGAGUCCCAAAUCAUGCACUGAGUUUGGUCUGCAACACAAAAUAAAAAGCUAACAAUCACUUUCAGUGAAGAUUUCACAUAGCAGAUAGCAGGGAAAAAUAUUAUAAUAUCUAUCAAUAUGGCAAAUUUACAUAUGCAUCAUUUUCUCAGUCUACUAUUACAGAGAACUGUUAAUCUGUAAUACUUUAUUUUAUUUAUUUAUUUAUUUAUUUUUUUGUCUUUUUCCUUUUUAUCGGUACCAGGGAUCGAACUCACGACUGCCUGCUUGCAAUGCAGGAGCUUGUGCCACUGAGCUAAAUCCCCAGCCCCGAUGUGUAAUAAUUUAGAAUGUGUUUAAUAAUCUUUCUCACAAGGAUCAAUCCCAAUCUGUAUCCCUGGACACCUCUAUUUUUAUACAGUUGAGCCAAAGUCAAUUUUGAAGGUCCCCAAUAUUUGUGGAGAGUUUUUUAAAAUCACACACUAGAGCCUUUUUUCCUGGUACGCUCCUAAGCAAAGUUACCUUGUUUAAGUGUUUAACACCCUCAUCAGCAACCUGGCUCAAGGCUAGUGUUAUAUACACAAGGUCCUCACGUAGCACCUGUAAACCAAGCACUACGAUGACAGUCACGUCCCUUGUGCUUCUCCCAUUUACUUCUUGUAAUAGCCUAUGGGUUCAUUUCCUUGGGUCAUUAAACUUUUCGAAGCAGUCAGCUGUGUUCUCUUCACAUUUUCUCAUCCCAUUUCAUUAGCUAUUUGUUUGUGACAACAUCAAAAUCAGCCUUCUCCAGCAGUAUUUUCCAUGCUAGAAGUGCUCUGUAGCCAGCCUGUGAAAGUUACCCACUGGCAAAUUAGGUUUCAAAGAGCUGCGUGGAGAUGCGCAGCUACAGGAUCAGAGGGUGCAUGGUCUAGGCCAGCAGCUUAAUAAGAAACCCUGGCAUUCCCAAAGAGGACGUGCUCAGGAGUCCAGCUUCCUUACUCUUCCCAAACACAGUGAUUUUUCUUAAGUAAUAGCAUGCUACUUAACCUGAGAUAGGGGAAAAUGCAUAAAAGGAAGCUUUUGAAGCAUAACAGAUUACUCCCUGUUUAGAAAAAAGAAAAGCAGCACUGUCAGAGAUUUAAAAUUCAAGUAAAAUUCACAAAUUUCCAGUUUUUCUGAAAACAAAGAUUUAUUUUUUUCAACAGGUACAUAACAUGGAGUCUCAACCAAAUAUAUACAUGUGCAAAGAGGAAACUAAUAUGGCAAAAUGUUUACUAUAGACAACAGUUAUGGGUAGUUUUUGGAGGUUUACUUGUGAUUUCCCAAGUUUUCUAUAAUAAAUGUGCUUGAGAAAAAUUUAACAAAAAUGUGAAUCCCCACCAGGCAAGCCUCAGUUGAGACUAGGGCUUCAGCCUCCUGAGAGAGCUUAAGGCAGAGGGACCUAGCUGAGCUGUAUCUUGGCACACAGAAUCUGGGAGAAAGUAAAUGUUAAAUUUUGUCUUGAGCCAGGGUCUUACUAUGAAGCCUAAGUUGGUCUUCAACUCACAGUGAUCUUCCUGCAUCAGCCUCCUACAUGCUGAGAUUACAGGUGUGUGCCACCAUGUAAAGGAGUUCCUUCAGGCUACUAAGAUUAGGGUAAUGUUGCCUCACAGCACAGGCUUGUGGGUCUCAGGCUCUGGUUCCCCGCUGCUCUCUGUCCUCCUCUGCUCCAGUAACCUGAGCAUUACAGGGCGCCUUGCUAACCUCCCCUCUGAACAAUUUCCUGUGCUGCUGAGUCUCUGCACAUGGAUGCUCACCCCUAGCCUGCUGCUUCCAGAUACCACCCAGCAGGCUGGCUCUUCUUGCCUUUCUGGUCACAGGAAAAGUUGUGACCUUUUGGGAGCAGAUCUGCUCUGAGCUCCAGCUCCGCCUCACAGCAUUUUGCUUCAUUUCACUUUAGAGCCUGCUCUUCUCAGUUUCAUGCAUUUGUUUGCAUGAGUUUGCACUUUCUUCUUGGCCUAAGGAGCUUCUUGGCCUGUAGAAGGCAAGGACAGAGAUGAUGAUGGCUGACGGCCCUCGCAUAACCUGGGAAGCAUCAUCUCUGCAGCUGUGGUGCUUCCCAGUCAGGCAUUCCACCUGAAUGAGCUUUUUGGAUCUUUCCAAAGGUGGUUGUCAACAGGCACAUGGGACAAAAUCUGCCACCUGGUGGUGGAAUAGUGCUGCAACAUAUGUUAAAGUUGUUCUUUACUGUUUUGUUCAAUUUUAUUAUAACUGAUGAUAUAGGCAAUUCUUUUUAAGAUAGCAAGAGGCAUUAAUGGUAACCAUUGUUGAUCACCUUGUAUUUUGUUUUUACAUUAUUAUGUCCAUCCUUUUGAUUUGACUGACUCUGUCCUAUUAUGUCACAUUUGGUUUACAUUCUUCCAAAAAAAGUAAUUGUGUAAUUGUCAUUGUACAAAAGAGAGGAAAAGAAAGUGCUCUAAAGGACAUAACUGCAUGUAUAUUUAAGUGUAUAAGAUAGGUAACUAUAUUACCGAGUUUUAUUGGAUCAUUGAACGGAACUGUUUGCAGUCUCACUGUUUGAAUGUCCACUCUAUAUGCUUUAAUUUUGUAACUUGAACAAUUAUUUCUAGGAUGACAAUAUGUAAUCUAUUAACUAAUUAUUUCCUACUGUUUAUUUUUUCUGAAAUUCCGUAUAACUUGUACCCUUUUUCUGUUUUUUGUCUUUUUUCUCCUUAAAUAAAAAUUUAAAAAAAAGCCAAACAGGAACCAAACCAAGGAAAAUUUACAAAGCACAUGUCUGCGUGGUGGGGCUUCUAAGUGGAAGUGAUCUGGGGCCCUGAGGGAAAGUCUUGAGGACGCACAGGCAUCAGGGCCUCAGAUAGACUGAAAUACUCAGUUUCCCCCACCUCUUGGACUGCACUUUCCUGCAGUUUCUCAUGAGACCCCUGCAGCACAGCCACGACAAUGUCUCCAUCCCUGCUUCCCAGGGAGGACCCUAGGGCUGAAGCCAGGACAGUGUCACCAUAGUGUCACAAUAGCAGUCUCAUGAUUUCCUAUAUUCUGAAGUAUGCCAAGUGCUUAGUUCUUCAAACCUUGAGGCUCCUUGGUUGUUUUCAAGGCUUCUAAAAACAGCAAUGCCUUAAAUAUCUCAGGGUGCAGUGCACACUCAGUGUAGAAUCAAGCUCAAUAGAUAUUUCAUUGAUGAUUUUGGACCCCAGAGCAACUCACUUACUGUAAUCCCCAGUAGAAGGAAGCCCAGAAGGUUUCUUUUGGGGCACGCCUUCACUCUGGGGCUUCCCAGCAUGGUGGAGCAGUGGACAGAGGUCAGCAUGUGGUGCACCUUUGAGAGCUCUCCAGGCACACAGGAGCAUGCAGCUGACCGUGCAAGAUACGAUGAAGACAAUUAUUUGAGAUUUGGAGAGCAGCAAUAUAAAUGUUUGGAAGAUGUAGAGACCUGCAGAUAUUUCCAGUCCUUUCAGAAGCAUGAAGUGAGGAAUAUUGGAGAGAGACACUGUCAGUAUGGGCAGUGUGGGGAGGACAGCUCUAAUCUUAGUGAACAAACUCACGCUGGGCAGAAAACACUUGUAGGUUAGAAAAAAAAGAAAGCUUACACUACGUCUAACAAUUUUCAAAUACACAGGACAAAUCACAGUUCAAGGAGCUUAUAUAUACAGAAACGCUAUGAGAAUAGAUCUAUUUCUUUAUACUCUAUUGAAAAAAUGUUUAAAAUAUAGUGGAGAGAAACACCAUAUAACUGAGCAAUGUACAAAAACAUUAUUUUAUAGUAACUUCUUUAAAAAAACAUAAAGAACUUCACACUGGAAAGAAACUAUAUUUAUGCAAAGUAUGUGGGAAAGCAUUAAGUACAGGCAGUAGCUGUCAAAGACGUAAAAGGAUUCACACUGCAGAGAAAGCCUUUGUAUGAAACAAAUGUGGAAAAUCACUCAUUAAUUACCCAGAUUGUAAAAUACAUGAUAAAACUCACACUGGGGAGAAACAAUUUAUAGGUAAGAAAUGUGGGAAAUCUUUCCUUCAAAGUGAUAAACUUAUUACACAUGAAAAAAUUCACACAGAGGAGAAAUAUUAUGUGUGCAACAAAUGUGGGAAAACAUUCAGGAGAGCUUCAGAUUGUAAAAUAAAUGAUAGAAUUUACAUUAGUGAAAAACCCUAUGUAUGCAACAAGUAUGGGAAAGCAUUCAUGAGAGCCUCAGAUUGUACAAUACAUGAUAAAACUCACACUGGGGGAAAACCCUAUGUGUGCAACAAAUGUGGGAAAGCAUUCAGGACAGCCUCAGAUUUUAAAAUACAUGGUAGAAUUCACACUGAGGAAAAACCCUAUGUGUGCAACAAAUGUGAGAAAGCAUUCAGUACAGCCUAUGGUUGUAAAACACAUGAUAGAAUUCACAUGGGGGAACAACCCUUUGUAUGCAGCAAAUGUGGGAAAUCUUAAAGUGAUUAACUUAUUCCCCAUGAAAAAAUUCACACAGAGGAGAAAACGUAUGUAUGCAACAAAUGUGAAAAAACAUUGAGUACAGCCUUCAAUUGUAAAGCACAUGAUAGAGUUGCACUGGGGAGAAAUGAUAUAUAUGUAAGCAAUGUGGGAAUUCCUUCAGUUGAAAUGGUACCCUUAUACAUGAAAGAAAUCAUAUUGUCUAGAACUUUUAUGGAUACAAAUAAUGUGGCAAAGCAUUCAGUAUGCAGAAGUGCUGAAAAUAAAUCCUAUCUAUCUAUGUAUGAUAUUAGGGAUGUCUUUAAGCUAUAGUAGUGACUUUUGUGUAUAUAAAAGAAUUCACUCUGAAGAAAAACUAUCUAUAUGAGAAACAAGAAAAUGGAUUUUUUUGAUAAAUUCUGAUAUUAUAAACAUAAAAUAUCCCACACUAGAAAGAAAACUUAUGAACAUAAGGAAUGUAGGAAAAUUUUCCAGAACCAGAGAUAUUGUCACUACAUGAAAGAAUUCCCUCUGUGUAGUAAUUCUAUGCAUUUGAACAAUGGUCGAUACCAUUUAGUGCACAAAAGUGCCAUCAAAUAGAGGAAUAAUGCACACAAUAAAGAAAACCUUUGUGUGUAGGUUGUGUGGAAAAGAUUGGCUGGAGUGUUUCCCUUUUGCAAACAUAAGAUUCCCCUCAUGCUGAGGAAACUGCGUGUGAGAAAUAUUUGGUAAAAAUUCAGCUGAAAGACACUAUACUUCCGCGUGAUGCCAUAUUGUUUCCCUAGUUUAUGUAUGCAAUGUGGGAGAAAGCAUUUAGUACUUAUUAUUAUUGUCAAAUAUGUGAAAAUAAUCAUAGUUAAUUGAAAUCUCACAUAUGUGACUAUUUUGAAAAUAUUUCAAAAAUUACUCAUGUAGAGGAAACAUAAAAAUAAUAUAAAAUUAUUGCUGUCAGUAUAUAUUCAUAGAUUUUUUUUGGAAAUACUGUCAAACACAGAGUUAUCCUAAAAUGUUUUCAUUUCUUUUUAUGAAGCACACAUAAAUAUCUGAUUUGUCUUAGCCUUAAUAAAAUAUUAUAUUUGUUAAAGAAAAUAUAA
Long non-coding RNA from Cavia porcellus (domestic guinea pig), 7402 nucleotides. RefSeq lists it as uncharacterized. Lineage: Eukaryota; Metazoa; Chordata; Mammalia; Rodentia; Caviidae. The record is from RefSeq and is a predicted model, not a curated record. The transcript is spliced from 2 exons.